RNAcentral lists this ribosomal RNA (465 nucleotides) under uncultured bacterium. RNAcentral's name for it is "partial 16S ribosomal RNA". It matches the Rfam family "Bacterial small subunit ribosomal RNA", at positions 28 to 507 of the family's 1533-position model. The record is from RNAcentral.
GACGAACGCUGGCGGCGUGCUUAACACAUGCAAGUCGAACGGAACGGCCCUGCUUGCAGGGUCCUCGAGUGGCGAACGGGUGAGUAACACGUGUGUGAUCUGCCCUGCACUUCGGGAUAAGCCUGGGAAACUGGGUCUAAUACCGGAUAGGAGCCAUAUUUCGUGUGAUGGUUGGAAAGUUUUUUCGGUGUAGGAUGAGCAUGCGGCCUAUCCGCUUGUUGGUGGGGUAAGGGCCUACCAAGGCGGCGACGGGUAGCCGGCCUGGGAGGGUGGACAGCCACAGUGGGACUGAGACUCAGCCCAGACUCCGACGGGAGGGAGCAGUGGGGGAUGGUGCACAAUGGGCGCGAGCCUGAUGCAGCGACGCCGCGGGGGGGAUGACGGCGUUCGGGUUGUAAACUCCUUUCGCUAGGGACGAAGCUGUUUGUGACGGUACCUAGAUAAGAAGCACCGGCUAACUACGUG